Molecule: ribosomal RNA, 497 nt
Filed under: uncultured bacterium
Lineage: Bacteria
Description: partial 16S ribosomal RNA
Rfam family: Bacterial small subunit ribosomal RNA
Source: RNAcentral
GAUGAACGCUGGCGGCGUGCCUAAUACAUGCAAGUCGAGCGAACAGACGAGGAGCUUGCUCCUUUGACGUUAGCGGCGGACGGGUGAGUAACACGUGGAUAACCUACCUAUAAGACUGGGAUAACUUCGGGAAACCGGAGCUAAUACCGGAUAAUAUAUUGAACCGCAUGGUUCAAUAGUGAAAGACGGUUUUGCUGUCACUUAUAGAUGGAUCCGCGCCGCAUUAGCUAGUUGGUAAGGUAACGGCUUACCAAGGCAACGAUGCGUAGCCGACCUGAGAGGGUGAUCGGCCACACUGGAACUGAGACACGGUCCAGACUCCUACGGGAGGCAGCAGUAGGGAAUCUUCCGCAAUGGGCGAAAGCCUGACGGAGCAACGCCGCGUGAGUGAUGAAGGUCUUCGGAUCGUAAAACUCUGUUAUUAGGGAAGAACAAAUGUGUAAGCAACUAUGCACGUCUUGACGGUACCUAAUCAGAAAGCCACGGCUAACUACGUG